AUGGCGGACAUUCAGACUGAGCAUGCCUACCGGAAGCAGCCAACCAUCUUCCAGAACAAAAAGAGGGUACUGCUGGGCGAGACUGGCAAGGAGAAACUCCUGAGCUGUUACAAGAACAUCGGGCUCAGUUUCAAGAUGCUCAAAGAGGCCAUCGAAGGCACCUACAUUGACAAGAAAUGCCCAAGAUGAAGAUGCAGAGGAUCGAUGUCAUCCACCAGGACUGCCUCCGCCACAUUCGAAAGUACAGUCGCUCCGAGACGAGCCGCAAGGACAUGUCCGUGCACCUUUCCCCCCGCUUCAGGGAUGUCCAGAUGGGUGACAUCGUCACAGUGGGCAACUGCUGGGCCCUGAGCAAGACAGUGUGCUUCAACGUGCUCAGGGUCACCAAGGCCGCCGGCACCAAGAAGCAGUUCCAAAAGUUCUGA
Molecule: RNA transcript, 425 nt
Organism: Carlito syrichta (Philippine tarsier)
Lineage: Eukaryota; Metazoa; Chordata; Mammalia; Primates; Tarsiidae
Gene name: 40S ribosomal protein S11-like
Exons: 1
Source: RefSeq, a predicted model, not a curated record